This 460-nucleotide ribosomal RNA is filed under the name uncultured bacterium. RNAcentral's name for it is "partial 16S ribosomal RNA". It matches the Rfam family "Bacterial small subunit ribosomal RNA", at positions 338 to 795 of the family's 1533-position model. The record is from RNAcentral.
CCUACGGGAGGCAGCAGUGAGGAAUAUUGCUCAAUGGACGGGACUCUGAACCAGCCAAGUCGCGUGAAUGAUGACUGCCCUCUGGGUUGUAAACUUCUUUUGUAUGGGAAUAAGCUGUUCCACGUGUGGGAUUUUGUAUGUACCAUAUGAAUAAGAAUCGGAUAACUCCGUGCCAGCCGCCGCGGUAAUACGGAGGAUCGGAGCGUUAUCCGGAUUUAUUGGGUUAAAAGGGAGCGUAGGUGGAUUGUUAAGUCAGUUGUGAAAGUUUGGGGCUCAACCGUAAAAUUGCAGUUGAAACUGGGAGGCUUGAGUACAGUAGAGGUGGGCAGAAUUCGUGGUGUAGCGGUGAAAUGCGUAGAUAUGAGGAAGAACUCCGAUUGCGAAGGCAGCCCCUUGGACUGCAACUGACACUGAGGUUCGAAAGUGUGGGUAUCAAACAGGAUUAGAUACCCCGGUAGUC